AAGGCGCAGAUUGCAUGAUGCAACAGUUCACCCUGUUCAGCAAAAUUGUGAAAAAAAGGUCACUGUUCCAGUAACAUUGAAUUGAGUCAACCGGAUGCUAUGAUGCGAUAUUUCUGCAACCCAUGAGGUGCAAUGAGUUUGGACAACCCACAUCCUGUUUUACCCUCCAACCAUGUGAUUCGCUGUCACCAUGACAAUCAAAUGGGAAGUUGAUUUGUGUCAUCUCUGAGCUAUGAUUGGUCCCCAGUGCCAGUUCCGGUUUCCCGGAAGGCUAGAGCAGUAGCAAGCAGAAGUUCUGUAGGCAGUGGAAGACAAUGCGAGAUGAGAGGCUAAGAGAUCAGGUAUGGCACAGACGAUGAUUUGGGUGCUGCUUUCUGUGGGUCUUUGCAUCCGUCAUGUCUUCGCUGCAUCAACGCUGACUUCCUCACUGGAUAUGAGUACCACUAUGGCAACUCCAGCAGUAACCACAACAAAGCCCAGGAUCAGCACAGUCACAAAAGUUUCGACUACAUCAGUGGUCAGUGACGCAACAACAGCAACAAAAACAAACACAGCAGCAGAAACCAACAGGACACUCACAGCAGAAAAGGUGGAUCUCACUGAGGUAACAACAGCAGAUUCGUUGCUUGAAAAAACUAACAUUUCAAAGACAACUCUUGGACUGACAACAAACAGUAAGACUUUUAGAGUAGUGAUUCCAAAGACAAACGCUUAUGUUUUGGCUGCCACUGCAACACCCAAACCACCUAAACAACCGCUAGCGACAGCCUCUUCCACUUUAAUCACCUCUGCUGAGGAGUCCAAUGCCAUUCAGAGCACAGGAUCAAGCCCCACCACAGCAGAGCAGAACAGAGGCCCCCAGCUGACACCAAGCCCUUCCCUGCUGGGAAUAGAGGGGACCCAGGGCCAUCUGGGGGCCACGGCAAGCUCACAGACAGCAUCCCCUGGGCCUGGGUUGGAUUCGACUCUAUUCGAGCAGAGGACGGAAAUUGAUGGGAGUGUAAACUAUACUGCCUCCAGUGAGGCAGGUCUGCCUCAGAGCUUAAGCUCCCCCCACUCCUCCAUGUCUCCAAGGGGAAACUCAACUCAGGCCAGGCCAGACAACACGGAGAGGCAGGAAAGGGAGAUACGCACCAACAGUGUGACAACAGCGAACGCAAGGAUGUACGAUGCAUACGCUGACACGACAUCAAGCGCCCAUCUCAAACAACCUACUGACAGAGUCACACACACCACCACAAACCUCCGAACAAUAUUCACCACCUUCAGAACUGGAGCAGCAACAGCAGAUCCUUCUUCUGCCCUGCGCACUUCCAAGGACAUGGAGACUGAUACAUCAAACAUCAGUCUGCCCGUCAACAGCACUUCAUCACUUAACAUCUCAAUUCAGUCACACACUCUGGCCACAACCACACAGAUGAUGACAGGAGGCGUAAGGCAAACUGGAACAGGGGAUUGCCAUCCUCUCCCAUCCUUCCCAUCCUCUCCCUUCUGUACAAAGUUGACCUGCUUCCUCAUGCUCUGGGUCCUUGCUACGCUUGCGUCCUUCUUCCUGGGACUCAAUAUCUUCCUGUGGGUUCGUCUGUCUGCUGUGAGGAAGAGCAGGAGCUGGGAGAUGGAGGGACUGACAGGGGCAAGAGGAGUGGAGAGAGGAACUGUAGAGGAAAAGGACAGCCUGUGGGCAAACCCAGGGGUGACAGUAGAGGAGAGCGCGGAGUUCUGGUACGCUAACGGCACCGUGAUCCCCAGCAGUGACAGACACAGAGGGACAGGGAAGGAGAGAAAAAAGGAGAAACGGAGAGAGAAAAAGGGGGAGAGGAUGAAUGGAAGCCUAUGGCCUCAGCCUGAAGUGACUAUGGCAGACAUCACAGAGUUCUGGUAUGGGAGGGAGAGGCCAAUGGGGAGGAAUCACCUGACAAUACUGGAGGAAGAGGAGGCCCGUUGCGUAGACUGAGGAAGAUGCUAAUGAGGACUAGUGACACUGGACCAGUCAGCCUGAGCCUUACAAUUCCCUCACUGUUUCAUUUCUGAGGCAAACCCAUUUGUAUAUUGAUUCAAUUGUUAAUUAUUCACUGUAUGCUUUGUCUUGCAAAGUAAAUGUUUCAUUCCACAACAUGAACUUGUGUGAGAGGUAUGUCAAAAUGUUUGUGUCUGGGAACAAGUAUGUGGAUGCGGAUAUAUUAGGGGAUUUAGUAAUGCGUGGUUGUUCAUGUGCGUUCGUGUGCAAGAGACAGGAAGAACUAAUAGUAAAUGGACACCAUGAGGAAAAGAGGAAAUGACUGAAACUUACUGUAUCUCUACACACUACCCUACCCUACCACACACACGCACAGAAACACACACACACACACACACACACACACACACACACACACACACACACACACAAAUGACAAAUGACAAAUGAUACAUAGACAAAAAUACACACAACAGUAUUGAAAAAUAUAUAUAAAAGACAGAAUAUGUUUACCGGUAUAUACAUGUAUGAUUUGACAUUUGUGAGCCAAAGUCCUUCUAGGCAAGUCUUGCGGCAUUCGGCAGCCAUUUUGGCAACGCCUCUGGGCAGCUAUUUCAGGGUAACUAGAUCAGGCUCCCAUCUAAAUGAAUAGGGGGAGAUCAGGCUCCCAUCUAAAUGAAUAGGGGGAGAUCAGGCUCCCAUCUAAAUGAAUAGGGGGAGUUUCAUAACUCCACA
Molecule: long non-coding RNA, 2692 nt
Organism: Clupea harengus (Atlantic herring)
Lineage: Eukaryota; Metazoa; Chordata; Actinopteri; Clupeiformes; Clupeidae
Source: Ensembl